UACGGGGGGAGCAAGCGUUGUUCGGAUUUACUGGGCGUAAAGGGCGCGUAGGCGGCCACCGCAAGUCGACUGUGAAAUCUCCGGGCUUAACCCGGAAAGGUCAGCCGAUACUGCGGGGCUAGAGUGCAGAAGGGGCAACUGGAAUUCUCGGUGUAGCGGUGAAAUGCGUAGAUAUCGGGAGGAACACCAGUGGCGAAGGCGGCGAUCUGGGAAGAUACUGACGCUGAGGUGCGAAAGCGUGGGGAGCAAACAGG
Molecule: ribosomal RNA, 254 nt
Filed under: uncultured bacterium
Lineage: Bacteria
Description: partial 16S ribosomal RNA
Rfam family: Bacterial small subunit ribosomal RNA
Source: RNAcentral